This 550-nucleotide ribosomal RNA is filed under the name uncultured bacterium. RNAcentral describes it as "bacterial SSU rRNA". It matches the Rfam family "Bacterial small subunit ribosomal RNA", at positions 355 to 896 of the family's 1533-position model. The record is from RNAcentral.
UAGGGAAUCUUCGGCAAUGGACGGAAGUCUGACCGAGCAACGCCGCGUGAGUGAAGAAGGUUUUCGGAUCGUAAAGCUCUGUUGUAAGAGAAGAACGAGUGUGAGAGUGGAAAGUUCACACUGUGACGGUAUCUUACCAGAAAGGGACGGCUAACUACGUGCCAGCAGCCGUGGUAAUACGUAGGUCCCGAGCGUUGUCCGGAUUUAUUGGGCGUAAAGCGAGCGCAGGCGGUUAGAUAAGUCUGAAGUUAAAGGCUGUGGCUUAACCAUAGUACGCUUUGGAAACUGUUUAACUUGAGUGCAAGAGGGGAGAGUGGAAUUCCAUGUGUAGCGGUGAAAUGCGUAGAUAUAUGGAGGAACACCGGUGGCGAAAGCGGCUCUCUGGCUUGUAACUGACGCUGAGGCUUGAAAGCGUGGGGAGCAAACAGGAUUAGAUACCCUGGUAGUCCACGCCGUAAACGAUGAGUGCUAGGUGUUAGACCCUUUCCGGGGUUUAGUGCCGCAGCUAACGCAUUAAGCACUCCGCCUGGGGAGUACGACCGCAAGGUUG